CGGGACGGGUGAGUAACGCGUGGGUAACCUGCCUCAUACAGGGGAAUAACAGUUAGAAAUGACUGCUAAUACCGCAUAAGCGCACGAGAUCGCAUGAUAAAGUGUGAAAAACUCCGGUGGUAUGAGAUGGACCCGCGUCUGAUUAGCUGGUUGGUGGGGUAACGGCCCACCAAGGCGACGAUCAGUAGCCGACCUGAGAGGGUGACCGGCCACAUUGGGACUGAGACACGGCCCAAACUCCUACGGGAGGCAGCAG
This 256-nucleotide ribosomal RNA is filed under the name uncultured bacterium. RNAcentral's name for it is "partial 16S ribosomal RNA". It matches the Rfam family "Bacterial small subunit ribosomal RNA", at positions 98 to 354 of the family's 1533-position model. The record is from RNAcentral.